RNAcentral lists this unclassified non-coding RNA (537 nucleotides) under uncultured Pelagibacterales bacterium. RNAcentral's name for it is "partial 16S-23S ribosomal RNA intergenic spacer". The stretch from base 419 to 537 matches the Rfam family "Bacterial large subunit ribosomal RNA", at positions 1 to 120 of the family's 2925-position model. The record is from RNAcentral. Lineage: Bacteria; Pseudomonadati; Pseudomonadota; Alphaproteobacteria; Candidatus Pelagibacterales.
CCUCCUUUCUAAGGAUGAGUGAAAGUAAAAUUUCACUCUAAAUAAUAUACAUCGGUAAUGUUGACCGUCCUCAUUUCUCUUCUUAAAGUAAUGUUUCCUUCUUGUAGGGCCGGUAGCUCAGUUGGUUAGAGCACACCCUUGAUAAGGGUGGGGUCGAAAGUUCGAGUCUUUCUCGGCCCACCAAAAACUCAAUGGGGGAUUAGCUCAUCUGGGAGAGCGCCUGAUUUGCAUUCAGGAGGUAGCAGGUUCGAUCCCUGUAUCCUCCACCAGGAAACAUUUAGUUAUUAAAACUGUAAAUAAAAAUAAUUUAUAUCAAUAUCUAUAUCCGAACAUUAAAAGUUAUUAUUUAAUGUUCAAAAUAAAAAUUUGAUCACAACAUAGAAAAAUUUUCUGCAAAAUGAAUUUUUUUCUGUGCAUAAAUCAAGCGUUUAAGGGCGUGUAGUGGAUGCCUUGGCACUGAAAGCCGAUGAAGGACGUGAUAUACUGCGAUAAGUUUCGGGGAGCUGUAUGUAAGCUUUGAUCCGAAGAUUCCGAAUG